GACGAACGCUGGCGGCGUGCCUAAUACAUGCAAGUUGAGCGAUGAAGAUUGGUGCUUGCACCAAUUUGAAGAGCAGCGAACGGGUGAGUAACGCGUGGGGAAUCUGCCUUUGAGCGGGGGACAACAUUUGGAAACGAAUGCUAAUACCGCAUAAUAACUUUAAACAUAAGUUUUAAGUUUGAAAGAUGCAAUUGCAUCACUCAAAGAUGAUCCCGCGUUGUAUUAGCUAGUUGGUGAGGUAAAGGCUCACCAAGGCGAUGAUACAUAGCCGACCUGAGAGGGUGAUCGGCCACAUUGGGACUGAGACACGGCCCAAACUCCUACGGGAGGCAGCAGUAGGGAAUCUUCGGCAAUGGACGAAAGUCUGAACGAGCAACGCCGCGUGAGUGAAGAAGGGUUUCGGAUCGUAAAACUCUGUUGGUAGAGAAGAACGUUGGUGAGAGUGGAAAGCUCAUCAAGUGACGGUAACUACCCAGAAAGGGACGGCUAACUACGUG
Molecule: ribosomal RNA, 497 nt
Filed under: uncultured bacterium
Lineage: Bacteria
Description: partial 16S ribosomal RNA
Rfam family: Bacterial small subunit ribosomal RNA
Source: RNAcentral